UUUUGCAAAAUUAUAUAUUUUUAAUUUAUUACUUAAGAAGUCUUUGACAUCCAAACGUAAGUGACACUACAUGUACAAUACUGAAUUCUAAAUCUAAAAAUAUAAAUUUUGUUAUCUUAAGUAAUAUAUAUAUAUGUAUAUAAAUAUAUGUAUAUAUGUAUAUUAUUCUUUCCACCUCUGCUCUAGCUUGGUUCCUUGUAAUAAACCUGGCAUUUUAUACUAAAUAUUGUUGGCUCUGUGACAAAUUGCAUGUUGUGUUCCUAGAUCCUUCCAUGAGGAUGGCCUCCUGCACCCCAGAGCUGAGCGACCUCCUGUCAAAGGCCAUGAACCAGAUGACUAUAUUAUGUUUGCUAGUGAGACAGACGCCAUACUGUUCCACUCAAAGAUCUCCCAUCAGUUGUUUACCAGUAUGAAGACCAGCCAAGACCAACUGGGAGGUUUUGUUCAUGCUUUUUAUUGUGCAUUGUCAUGAUCUCUGCUUUGAUUUGUUAUGAAUCCAGGUCUCUUUUUAU
Megalobrama amblycephala (Wuchang bream) is the source of this 512-nucleotide long non-coding RNA. RefSeq lists it as uncharacterized. NCBI's taxonomy places the organism in Eukaryota, Metazoa, Chordata, Actinopteri, Cypriniformes, Xenocyprididae. The transcript has 3 exons. The record is from RefSeq and is a predicted model, not a curated record.